Pangasianodon gigas (Mekong giant catfish) is the source of this 72-nucleotide non-coding RNA. NCBI's taxonomy places the organism in Eukaryota, Metazoa, Chordata, Actinopteri, Siluriformes, Pangasiidae. The record is from the annotation of a GenBank genome assembly.
UCCUCGGAGGACUAGUGGUUAGGCCUCAGCUCUCUCACCGCUGUAGUACGGGUUCGAUUCUCAACCAGGGAA